GUGACGUGUGUGUUGGGGUGCUGGACAGUGGAUGGUCUGUGUGGGGUACUGGGCAGUUGUGGUGGGGCUCAGGGCAGGGGGGUGCUGAGCAGAGGUGGUGUUCAGGAUGCUGUGCAUUUGUGGGGGGGGGGGGUUGCUGGGCAUAGUGGUUCCAAGGGGUACUGGGGGGGGGCUGCGUGGCACUACAUGGACCCACCCCCACGGGGAAGGGGCACGCUGGCAGCACAGGGCUGGGCGGGCCAGUGUGCGUCUAGCAACUGCCAGUUUGUAAACAGUGCCCUUGCACUGUGCGGAGCAGGACUGCCCCUGCCGUGCCAUGCCCCAUUGCCCCGGCCAGCCCCUUGCUCCAAGGACUGACCUUCCCGUGCCAUGCUCCAUUGCCCCCAGAGGAGCCCACAAAUGUUUGGAGCUGAGCCCGCAAAAAGUUAAUCCGGCCCGCAUGCUCCAUCUCAAUCUAGACGCCUGCCUCUUGGAUCAAGAUGGAGUAUUGCAUGCUGGGGUUUGUGGUCUGGCCCCAUCUUGUAGAGGAAGGUGGCUGCAGUCUGCUCCGUGUUCUAGCUAAUUAGGACUGGAUUCCUCUGGCUCCUGGUAAGUUACCAUUUGCCCUUCAGUUGGGCAAAGUUCGGGCGCCCGUGAGGCUGGGAAAUCUAGGCUGCUCUUUAGAAACACUGAUUAUUUGUGUUCUAAUAGGACUUAUUUUUUUAAAAAGCUUAGUUGUUAUUUUUAUUCUAUUUAAUAAUAAGGAUUUUCUGAAUUGUCUGCAACUGAAUUGUGAAAUCACUUGCCUCUUUGUAUGACCUCAGAGGGGAGAUUUUUCAAACAUAUCUAGCACCUUUUAUUCUGUGAUGCAGUCUCUCAGCGGAGUGAAUGUUUUAAAGGACACUGUCACUUUCAAAUCUAGUCUUCUUCACUCAGACUAGGAAAAGGAGCUGGUUUAACUUGAUUGAAAACCCCUCUUACUACCACCACCCCAAAAUCACAAACUGACAAAACACUUAACACCGAUGUGGACACAGUUCAACACAUUUAGUUCAAUUUUAGGAUCCUGCUUCAGCUGUAACUUCACAUGGUAGAAUGAUAUGAAAGCAGUUGCACUGUGUCUAUGCAGGUGCAAAGUGGGCUUUUCAAUCAAGAUCAAGCUCGGUUAGCGGAAAUUUUUUUUUUUCUUCUGGUCUUAGACAAGACCCGAGUUGAAGUUUUUCAAGUACUUCACUUGCCACAGCCACAUUGUGUGUGGGGAGGGGUGGCUCAAUACGAAAAUGGGAAAGCUUCCUAAUUGAAUAACUAGGGGUAUCCACAAAGCUUACCAUACGUGAAAUGCUGCCAAAUGUAGAGUAAACAGGCUGAAAAAAGAGAGAGACUUUGAUUGAUCUGUCUGUUACAGUGAUCAGAGGUGUUACGAUAUCUUACCCAGUGAUGCAAGUCAGAUGGACUGUGUCUUUUUAUGUUCACUGACCUCAAAGGAGCACUGGAAGUCAGGGAUUUAUUUAUUUAGAAACUAUUUGUGAGGCCAGAACCUUGUAUGAUAAACUGACAAUUAAUGGUGCAAUUUGAAAGGCUGCUUACUUCUUGGGCUUAAUCCUGCAAGGUGCUGAACUCCUUCUCUUUUCCUUGACAUCAGCAGGAAUGUGGAGGGUGCUCUGCACCUAGGUUGUAAUUUGUGCUAUGGUUCUGCAUUGUUUGUUGUUUGUACCCAGACCCUAAGCUGUCCUUCAGUAGAAGACUUUGCCAUAGGUCAAAAUGAGUUUUGCUCUAAAUAGAGCAGUCGGUUUGCUCACCAGCUGGGUUGCUUGGUUCAAAAAGUCUUCUGUCUUUGCAGCUCAUCCUGCUUCUGUGUUACUUUUCUUCCUGAGACCCUCCCCCCCAGCUCAUGCACAGCUGAUAUUAUUUAAUGUAUUCUGUCAUGGUCUGUGCUCAGCCUAGGUCCUCUUGCAGCAGGGCUACAAGCUUCAGUGCCUUUCUGCCCUUCUUCACACAGCCUAGGAGAGUUGGAGCGUUCCAGUUCCCAACAGCAUCUGCUUUAUAAAUCACUUGCGUUCAGUCACUGUGAGCUCUGCCUACUGCCACCCUAUAGCAAAGCAAACCCUUGCUCACGUUGGAGGUGAAGGUGUGUCCAUGGCAUAGACGUCAUGAGGAGCCCUGCCAAUUUCAGGGCUCAGAUUGAACAGCCCAAGUGAACAAAGUAUGGGGCUGGGAGACAGGGACUCCCAAGUCCUAAUCAUAGCUCAGCCAUCAGCUCUCUUCCACACCUUCAGACAGGUCACUUUACCUGCCUGUACCUGACUUCCCCAGCUGUAAAUUUGGGGAAUAUCCCAGGCUCUUCCAAACGGGACCGAUAAUCUUCAUCACUGGUUUUUGAAAUGGUAUUAACCUUAUUACAAGGUAACAUUUGACACAGUAACAUACUGAGGCACAUCGUUUAGCAGUGCCCUUAAGUGGAUACUGUUACAAUAAUUUGCUUUAUGGGCUUUUAUUACAACACUAAUUUCUAUAAAGUUUAUAAGGCAAGAUUGGAAUUUCAGAUAACAAGUUCUUAGUCAGUUUUUUGCAUACUCGGUUUAGGCCGAGAUUGCGUAAACUAUCGUUUGCCUUGGACCUUUCACUACUUUAGCUUUCUACAAGAAGAACACGGACAGGUGGCUGUAGUUGAUCGUUACAAAGUAAUUGUGAAUAUACUUUCUGGUGAGCUUCAGGAGACACUAGAAGCAGCUUGGAAUCAUUCUGCAUAUUUGGGGUUAUUGUUACAUUAAUAGAUUUGCAUGUGUCAGAGAGCAAUUUGGCUAUGACUAAUCAUUGUGUGGUUGUUGGAUUAUGAGUAUUUAAAUUCUAAAUUUCUGACUUCAGAAUUACUUCUGGUUGAACUGUUACAAAUGGUCCUUCUAUUUGUUGAUUGGAAUGCAACUGAUUUGGAAUAUAAUAAUGGCACAUAUUAAAGGAACCAUAUUAGUAUGCGAAUCACCCUCCCAGAAUAUAAAAUGGAAUUAGAUACAUUUACCACUUGUGAUCAAACUUUGGUUUAUUGUUUGAGUUGUUAUCCGUUUGCCCAUGUUGAACUCUUUGUGUUGAAAUUAAUUCAAUAAAUAGUAAUGCUAUCAUAUUCA
Long non-coding RNA from Mauremys mutica (yellowpond turtle), 3101 nucleotides. RefSeq lists it as uncharacterized. The transcript has 2 exons. NCBI's taxonomy places the organism in Eukaryota, Metazoa, Chordata, Testudines, Geoemydidae. The record is from RefSeq and is a predicted model, not a curated record.